RNAcentral lists this ribosomal RNA (502 nucleotides) under uncultured bacterium. RNAcentral's name for it is "bacterial SSU rRNA". It matches the Rfam family "Bacterial small subunit ribosomal RNA", at positions 30 to 524 of the family's 1533-position model. The record is from RNAcentral.
AUUGAACGCUGGCGGAAUGCUUUACACAUGCAAGUCGAACGGCAGCACGGGGCAACCUGGUGGCGAGUGGCGAACGGGUGAGUAAUACAUCGGAACGUGCCCAAUCGUGGGGGAUAACGUAGCGAAAGUUACGCUAAUACCGCAUACGAUCUACGGAUGAAAGCGGGGGAUCGCAAGACCUCGCGCGAAUGGAGCGGCCGAUGUCAGAUUAGGUAGUUGGUGGGGUAAAGGCUCACCAAGCCAACGAUCUGUAGCUGGUCUGAGAGGACGACCAGCCACACUGGAACUGAGACACGGUCCAGACUCCUACGGGAGGCAGCAGUGAGGAAUUUUGCGCAAUGGGGGAAACCCUGACGCAGCGACGCCGCGUGGGUGAUGAAGGCUUUCGAGUCGUAAAGCCCUGUCAAGUGGAAAGAAUUGUCGAUGUGCUAAUACCGCAUUGAUUUGACGGUACCACUAAAGGAAGCACCGGGCUAAACUCCGUGCCAGCAGCCGCGGUAAU